Molecule: ribosomal RNA, 497 nt
Filed under: uncultured bacterium
Lineage: Bacteria
Description: partial 16S ribosomal RNA
Rfam family: Bacterial small subunit ribosomal RNA
Source: RNAcentral
GACGAACGCUGGCGGCGUGCCUAAUACAUGCAAGUUGAGCGAUGAAGAUUGGUGCUUGCACCAAUUUGAAGAGCAGCGAACGGGUGAGUAACGCGUGGGGAAUCUGCCUUUGAGCGGGGGACAACAUUUGGAAACGAAUGCUAAUACCGCAUAACAACUUUAAACAUAAGUUUUAAGUUUGAAAGAUGCAAUUGCAUCACUCAAAGAUGAUCCCGCGUUGUAUUAGCUAGUUGGUGAGGUAAAGGCUCACCAAGGCGAUGAUACAUAGCCGACCUGAGAGGGUGAUCGGCCACAUUGGGACUGAGACACGGCCCAAACUCCUACGGGAGGCAGCAGUAGGGAAUCUUCGGCAAUGGACGAAAGUCUGACCGAGCAACGCCGCGUGAGGGAAGAAGGUUUUCGGAUCGUAAAACUCUGUUGGUAGAGAAGAACGUUGGUGAGAGUGGAAAGCUCAUCAAGUGACGGUAACUACACAGAAAGGGACGGCUAACUACGUG